UCUCGCUUUCGAGUUGUGGAAGAAUCUGAGGUAAGAAUGGGAUUCGAGUAAAUCUUCGAAUUCCCAAACUGCCUCUUUUAUGAGUUCAUCCAAAGCAUUCACCUCUGUCCUGAUCUUGCUGCAGCUGGUCUCAUCCAAUUCGAGUAGAACUUUCUGCAAUCGAUCCAUCUGGUCGUAGGCAGGUUGUAAGAUUUGUGGAGAGUGGGAAACGUGAGAAAUGCGAGACGAUUGUAGAAUAUGCUGAAUCGUAUUCUUGAGAGAAGCCGCCGCACCAAAAGCCGCCAUACCCAAAUUAUCAGCUGAGAUACGAUAUAUUGUUGAAAUGAAAUUGCUUAGGUCUGCAAUUUUCCUCCAAAAUGAAGCUUAAACUAAACUGCAAUUAACCCAGAAUAAAAUUCAGUCGCCUAAGAAAGAAACGAAGAAGAAGAAGAAGGAAUUAUAAUAAGCAAACGCAGACGAAACAAAUGAUAGAUCUCAGUUCUCUGCUUACCUCUCGAAGGCGGCGGCAGCUGGUUUUGAUACAAUUUCAGAAACAUUCAAAACCACAUUCAAGAAUUUUAGUAAAUGAUUUGAAAAGAUGUGUAUAAUGUAAUGGUAAAAUCGAUCUAUUGAUGAUUUUGAAUGCAAUUGUGUGGAAGAAUUGUAGCAAGAAACAAAGCAACCGAAGAUUGUAAUUAUUAAGAAUGAGCAAUCAACCACUUGAAAAUUAUGAAAGAAGUGUGAAAACACAUGGCUUCCACUAGUUUUCGUAAAAGAAAACGCACGCCAAUAAAGCUAAUAAUAAAAUAUCCUAUAUAUAAUUAUAUUGGGUCCUAGCCCAAGCUUAUCA
This 829-nucleotide long non-coding RNA is filed under the name Salvia miltiorrhiza (redroot sage). RNAcentral describes it as "long non-coding RNA (SMIL_LNC006721)". Lineage: Eukaryota; Viridiplantae; Streptophyta; Magnoliopsida; Lamiales; Lamiaceae. The record is from RNAcentral.